This is a non-coding RNA of Momordica charantia (bitter melon), 1564 nucleotides long. NCBI's taxonomy places the organism in Eukaryota, Viridiplantae, Streptophyta, Magnoliopsida, Cucurbitales, Cucurbitaceae. The record is from RefSeq and is a predicted model, not a curated record.
GAAAACGAUUAAAAUAAAAGGGCAACCAAACAGCCGGAAAACUUCUCGAGUCUUAUCUCUCCGGCUGUGUCACAAAUCGACUGUGCUUCAUUUCCCGACGUGUUGUGUUUGAUCUGUUUACAAUACCAUGAUCAGAUUCAGCAAAAUAUCCGAACGAAUUACUGUUUAUGUUCGUCGAAUUGUUGAACAAUGAAAUCAUAGUCGAUCGAUUACACUUGCACCUUUUUUCCUAAAAUAAUAGCCGGAACAAGUUCUUCGGGGAUUUUCUUACCAUGUAGCACAGGCUAGACCAGCCUCGGUCAAGGAAGACUUUAGCUAGUGCGAUGAUAUCACGAAUUGUAUUUGAAGGCUAUAGAGAUGAUGGAUAAUUCCCACCUAUCAAAUCAACUCCGGUGAGUGCGCCCUUUUGGGAGCACUGGAUCAAAGUGGGAUGAAUGGAGAUUGGUCGGAUUUUGGGUGCGGCCAUUUUCAUUAUGCCCAUCAUGUGUUCGAUGAAAUGCCCAACAGAGGUAUCGUGGGGGUUUAAGUCUUUGUUUUGCCUCGUAUGGAGAUUUUUCAAACUCCACCCAACUUUUUGAUGACCCAAACCCAUCAUCUUUGUCUCAAUCUUGUCUUCUGAGCAAACAAAAGAUCAGAGAAGUGAAUGGAAGAGCUGAAACUGAGACCUUUUGAUGAAAGGAGUAGCUGUUCAUGGAAGAAUUCAAUUUGAUGACUGAGAAAGGAAUGAAGAAGAGUUAACUAACAGUGAUUUCUCCAUCUCCAAAGUUGAAUUUUCAAUGAUAGAAUAUGGUUUCUGAUCGGUGCUUCUGCGUCUUCUUUCUGGGUUUUCUCUUCUUUCUUUCACGCCUCUUCAUUGUUUCCUCUGCACCUUCCACUUUCAUUUCAGAUGAAAUCUUUGAAUCUCGAAGUUCAACUGGACGGAGGCUCCUUCAAGAUAAAAAAGUUGUGCAGCUUGCCCUGUAAGCUUUGAAUUCUUGAACUAUACAAUCAUCACAAGCAAAUGUAAAGGGCCUCUAUAUUCUCCAAAGCUUUGUUGUUCAGCUCUGACCGAAUUCGCUUGCCCUUACGUCGAUGCCUUGAACGAUAUGACAACUAGUUGCUCUCUGACCAUGUUUAGCUACAUUAACCUCUAUGGAAAAUACCCACCUGGCCUUUUCUCGAACGAGUGUCGAGAAGGAGAUCGCGGUCUUGCUUGCCCUCUAAUGCCAACUUCGUCCAACCCGAACUCGGCUCCGCUCUUGAAAUGUCCGUCUUCUGCAAUGAUCCUCGCCUCUGGCCUUGUACUUCUGCUGUCAUGGCUCGCAUGACGCCCCGAGUGCCCCCAUUCUUCUUCUUGUUCAUCGAUAUACUUUGUACUCCAAGGAAAAACUCAUCUCUUAAUAACUCGUGUUCAUGAGGUUGGCCAUGGUAGAGGGACUUCUCACUUCUUGGGGCCAUGAAAGCUGUUUUGUAUCACAAACUUCAUAUUUGUAUCAUCAAACCCUUUGUUACAAAUGACACUCAUUGUGUACAUUAUCUUUAUACAUAAUAAAAUGGUUUAGCAGGUGUGUUAACCUAAUGGAAA